Molecule: ribosomal RNA, 468 nt
Filed under: uncultured bacterium
Lineage: Bacteria
Description: partial 16S ribosomal RNA
Rfam family: Bacterial small subunit ribosomal RNA
Source: RNAcentral
GACGAACGCUGGCGGCGUGCUUAAUACAUGCAAGUCGACCGGAACGGCGCUGCCUAUGUCGGUUGCUCGAUUGGCGACCGGGUAAGUAACACGUGAGUAUCCUGCCUCUGGCUUUGCGUUACCUUCAGGAAACUGGGGCUAUUACAGGAUAUGAGCUCCCGCUGCAUGGUGGGGGUUGUAAAGUUUCGGCGGUUGGGGAUGGACUCGCGGCUUAUCAGCUUGUUGGUGGGGUAGUGGCUUACCAAGGCCUUGACGGGUAGCCGGGCUGGGUGGGUGACCGGCCACAUUGGGACUGGGAUACGGCCCAGACUCCUACGGGAGGCAGCAGUGGGGUAUAUUGCACAAUGGGCGGAAGCCGGAGGCAGCAACGCCGCGUGCGGUAGGACGGCCUUCGGGUUGUAAACCGAUUUCGCCUGUGACGAAGCGUGAGUGACGGUAAUGGGUAAAUAAGCACCGGCUAACUACGUG